UCGCCUGUUUAUCAAAAACAUAGUUCUAUGGUAUAUAUAUAGAAUAAAACCUGCCCAGUGUAUUAUAAUUAUAAAUGGCCGCAGUACCUUGACUGUGCUAAGGUAGCAUAAUCAAUUGGCUUUUAAUUAAAGUCUAGAAUGAAUGGGACUAUGAAAUAUAGCUGUCUUAAUUAUAAUAAAUAUAACUUAUUUAUAAGGUGAAAAUACCUUUACAUACAAUAAAGACGAGAAGACCCUAUGAGUUUUUAAUAGAAAAUUAAAUAUUAAUUUAUAUUUUUUGUUGGGGCGACAUGUGAACAUUUAAACUUCACUAAUAUUAUUUAUCGAUUAUAAUAAACAUAUCAAAACUACCUUAGGGAUAACAGCAUAAUUUAUUAAUUAAGUUUGUGACCUCGAUGUUGGACUAAGGAACUAUAUAGCUAACCGUUAAAAUAGAUUUGUUCUGUUCGAACAAUACAAUCCUACGUGAUCUGAGUUCAGACCGGA
Molecule: ribosomal RNA, 486 nt
Filed under: Hippeutis complanatus
Lineage: Eukaryota; Metazoa; Mollusca; Gastropoda; Planorbidae
Description: partial 16S ribosomal RNA
Rfam family: Bacterial large subunit ribosomal RNA
Source: RNAcentral